UGAGGCAGGAGAAUUGCUUGAACCCAGGAGGUGGAGGCUGCAGUGAGCUGAAAUCGUGCCACUGCACUCCAGCCUGGGUGACAGAGCGAGACUCCAUCUC
This 100-nucleotide microRNA precursor is filed under the name Pan troglodytes (chimpanzee). RNAcentral describes it as "miRNA (ENSPTRG00000050163.1)". Lineage: Eukaryota; Metazoa; Chordata; Mammalia; Primates; Hominidae. The record is from RNAcentral.